RNAcentral lists this ribosomal RNA (520 nucleotides) under uncultured Glomus. RNAcentral's name for it is "SSU rRNA". It matches the Rfam family "Eukaryotic small subunit ribosomal RNA", at positions 569 to 1092 of the family's 1831-position model. The record is from RNAcentral. Lineage: Eukaryota; Fungi; Glomeromycota; Glomeromycetes; Glomerales; Glomeraceae.
AGCAGCCGCGGUAAUUCCAGCUCCAAUAGCGUAUAUUAAAGUUGUUGCAGUUAAAAAGCUCGUAGUUGAAUUUCGGGAUCGACGGGUCGGUCGCGCCUCUGGUGUGUACUGGCCCUGUCGGUUUCUCCCUUCUGAAGAACCGCGAUGUCAUUAAUUUGGUGUCGUGGGGAAUCAGGACUGUUACUUUGAAAAAAUUAGAGUGUUUAAAGCAGGCAUUCGCUUGAAUACAUUAGCAUGGAAUAAUGAAAUAGGACGUUUGAUCUUAUUUUGUUGGUUUCUAAGAUCGACGUAAUGAUUAAUAGGGAUAGUUGGGGGCAUUAGUAUUCAAUUGUCAGAGGUGAAAUUCUUGGAUUUAUUGAAGACUAACUACUGCGAAAGCAUUUGCCAAGGGUGUUUUCAUUAAUCAAGAACGAAAGUUAGGGAUCGAGGACGAUCAGAUACCGUCGUAGUCUUAACCAUAAACCUAUGCCGACUAGGGAUCGGAUGAUGUUAAUUUUUAUGACUCAUUCGGCGCCUUACG